RNAcentral lists this ribosomal RNA (253 nucleotides) under uncultured bacterium. RNAcentral describes it as "partial 16S ribosomal RNA". It matches the Rfam family "Bacterial small subunit ribosomal RNA", at positions 524 to 776 of the family's 1533-position model. RNAcentral also lists the same sequence under 1 other name. The record is from RNAcentral.
UACGUAGGGUGCGAGCGUUAAUCGGAAUUACUGGGCGUAAAGCGUGCGCAGGCGGUUUUGUAAGCCAGAUGUGAAAUCCCCGGGCUCAACCUGGGAAUGGCAUUUGGGACUGCAAGGCUCGAGUGCGGCAGAGGAGACUGGAAUUCCUGGUGUAGCAGUGAAAUGCGUAGAUAUCAGGAGGAAUACCGAUGGCGAAGGCAGGUCUCUGGGCUGACACUGACGCUCAUGCACGAAAGCGUGGGGAGCAAACAGG